UUUCAAUAUAAUGUGUUUUACGGGUGAUAGCUCAAUGGGAUACUCCUGACCUGAAACUUCUCUCUUGCUGAGGCAUCUGCCAUUGAGAUAUCCCACUGAGAGAUGAGCUAUCAGACUGGCUUCCAAAGCAAAGGUUAACUGUACAGCUGUGCUGUCCCCUCACUUGUUCUAGGUACAGCAAAGGUCACACCUCUGCAGUCCCACAGACUUUCUUCCCUUAAACAGUUUUGCAUCUGAAAUAAGAUUUUAUUUUAAAUUUCCACAAAGCAAUAAUUGUUUCCUCUUUUUAAAAAAAUUUGUAGGGUGGCUGCAUUUGUCCUGAUGGAAGCAGCGGUCAUAGACAGGGAUCCCCAGGUUCUUCAUACAGCACAUAUUCUGGUAACCAGGUAAACAUUCAGAUAAAAUGCCCUAUUCAGCAGCUCCAUCUAAAACCUCCCCUGAAGGAGUAGCCAGAUAUCAACCAGUAACCCAUUCUGUCUUCUGCACAGGGAGGGCCUUUCAUCUAUCCUGGAGGAUCCUAUGGACAGGGUGGCCCAGGUUCUUCCCACAGUUCUUACUCUGGUAACCAGGUAAAUAUUCGGGUCACUGUGCCUGCACAGGAGCAGCCUAGAAGUGUUCUUUGAGAGAACAUUCAACUACAAAAGAGUAAAUUUCUAUGUUUUCUCUGCAGGGAGGGCCUUCCUUCUAUCCUGGUGGAUCUUAUGGACAGGUAGGUGUUUUUUCUUGUUUGUAGAGAAAACAGACUUCUUUUAUUUCACACCUAUUCUGUCGUUAAAAGAUGGAAAACACUUUUUUUGGGAGAAUCAAAUUAAUCAGCUUUUUUUUUAUUUUCUGUGCAGGGAGGGUCUUCUGCUUAUGAUGGCAGCAGUGAAUCCUAUGGUCAGGUAAAUACUCUUUUUUUACUCUUUGUGUAAAUGUUGCAGAGGGCCAAUACCCUGGGUGAAGUAAAUAUAGAGUUAUAUCUGUAUUUUCUCUCUCACUAUAUUCUAAUGAAAGUGAUCUUUUCUUUGAGGAAUGAGUAAAUUUGUAUAUACUUUUAACUAGGUAGCCUGAAAGUUUAUGGGGAAGUACAAGGUAGGGUGCCUCCAACUUUUAAGGCUUAUUCUCAACAAUGC
This 1115-nucleotide long non-coding RNA is filed under the name Cyanistes caeruleus (blue tit). Its description in RNAcentral is "lncRNA (ENSCCEG00000001979.1)". The record is from RNAcentral. Lineage: Eukaryota; Metazoa; Chordata; Aves; Passeriformes; Paridae.